Long non-coding RNA from Trichomycterus rosablanca, 571 nucleotides. RefSeq lists it as uncharacterized. The transcript has 4 exons. The record is from RefSeq and is a predicted model, not a curated record. NCBI's taxonomy places the organism in Eukaryota, Metazoa, Chordata, Actinopteri, Siluriformes, Trichomycteridae.
ACAGCUGAAGAAUGCUUUUCGGGUCUUACCUGCCGCCUUUUCAAGUAGUCCAGUGCUAUCUGUACAUUUUGCAGUCUGUGGAAGCGCAUGCGGCCUUUCUCCCGAGGCUGUGAGAGGGAGAUGAGGGAAAAUGGUUCACCAUGAAACACUGUGCACAUCGCAGGAUCACCCUGUACAGGGUGCUAAUCCAUCACAAAGUUUGGCUACAGACUCGGUCAAUCAGCCCCUACUGCGCCUAGUGUUUCCCAGUGGAACCGGACCAGCUGCGACCCUGAACAAGAUGAAGCAGUUGACAACAAUUAAAUGAAUUAAAACACAGCGUCCAAUUGCCCGAUUGUGUCAUGCUUCCUCUCCACCAAUGCCGAUCCCUGCUCUGAUUAAGGAGAACGAAGCUAACCCACGCCCCUUCCAACACAUGGGUAACAGCUUGGACAUUCUGACUAACUGAAUUGCUGUAAGAUUGCUAGUGUAACAGACUUUAUUGUGGUCAAGUGUGCUGACGAUGUUUGAUUUAUGUAGUAUGUGCUGCGCCUCAAAAGAACAAGCUAGUAAACUAUUAUGCUCCCGAUAA